GCGGGCUACCUGUGCAGCAGAAAAAUAGCUCCAGCCUACCCGUUCUAGUACCCCCUCUGGUUCAUGAGUACGAGUCCACUCCGUGAACUUUUGUUCACGGAGUGGGCAUGCUGCACCAAAAGCAUCCCCGUGAAAUACCGGCGAUUAGGGUCAUAGGCAGUAAAGGACUUACGGGAUAGAUGUUGGACAAACUUGUGGGACUCCUCCUGGCCCUGACUGAAGGAAGUUAUCAGGAAGAAGGGUGACACAACUAAAUACUAUAGUGGGUGGUAAUGCAAAGUAGUAUUGAUAUGCUGUCAGCCACUGCCUUCUCCUGGGGGCUCAGAUUCUCCUCUAACAAGUGUGUCCACCUUCGCUUUGUGAGACAACAUGUGAUGAUAGACAGUCUUCAUCCUCUUUACACACUUGAUGGUACACCAAUCAACUGCUGUUCAACACACAAAGACCUUGGCGUGAUUGUAGACAACAAAUUGAAAUUUCACCAACAUAUCAGAAGUAUUGUUACAAAGGCUGGAGGCAUUGCUACCAACCUGCUGAAGUCCACUGUCUGUCGCUCAGUGGGCACUAGAGGCCACCAAUUCAAGAUCCUGAUGCAACACACUGAAAUGGAAGCUCGUAGGCAGUUCUUCUCAUGUUGGGUGAUUCGGUGUUGGAACUCCUUGACUGCUGAUGUGGUUAAUGCUCCCAGCCAUUCAACUUUUAAGUCUAAGCUACAGUUAUUUCCGAGUGCUGAACUCUCCUCCUUCUAAUACCUUUUUUAACUAUUUUUUUAUAACUUUUAAUUUUAUUGUUCAGUUCUAAUAUGAUAAGCUGAAGCUAUAUCAUUUUAAUUGGAAAACACACUUAAUCAGUUACUAUAUGUCAAUUGUGUUAGUAGUGCUGCCUGCUCACCUGACUGGAGUGUCUGACUGUUACUUUUGGGCCUUGCCUUCCCUGCCCAGUCUAGACUGGUUACCAGUUGGUAUGGCCCUACUAGGUGAGAAUACCAGGUGAGAAUUCAUGUCUGACAUGAUGCAGCCAUCUGCUGAUUAAUUGCAAAGAACCCUGCAGUUCUGAAGGAUCUUUUGAGGGCGUACAAGGAUGUGGUCAAUCUCCUUUGCUACCCCCCAGCAUUGCUAUAUCAAGUCCAGUAGUACAGCUCUGGUCUCUGGCACCAAGAACCUGCAAUUCUCAACCUUCUGUGAGAUCACGAGUCCAGCAUGUGAUCAGACUAAGUGAACCACACACACACACACACACACACACACACACACACACACAUGUACACAUGCACACACACAACUAGGUAAAUACACACACACACACACCAUCUGUUCUCUGUGAGUCACUAAACACUUACUCUAGCCAUCUGAGGCCAUGGAGACCAAGACAUAACUCAAGGCCAUCUGUUAUUGCCCGUACAGUAAUCCCUUGCUUUAACAAAUGAAUUAAGGGGAAGAAAGUGAUGUAAUAUCCAAAAAUCCAUUACAUCCAUGGGAUCAGACUUUUUGCAUAACAAACUUUGUUAUAUGAGCUGAAAAUUCAUUAUUUCCAACCACUUCCUUGUACAACAUAGUUUGUUUGUCACAUGUAAUGAAAGGUGAUACACGGAAGGAGAAGAGUGGAGGUGUUUAAAGUCAGUCAGACAAGGCUUGAGUAGAAUGACUAGACAUGCAUUGUCAGUAAACCACCCACUCAGCUUUGUUUCCAUCGGCGCUGAUUGAUGUUCGUGUACAUAUUCAGCUGGCCCACCACCGAACUGAACCCCGCACUUACCAACUUGUUCAGUACAGUAAAUCUCCACAUCUACCAGACUGACCCCAAAAGUUUGUAAAAAGUAAAAAAAUCAUUAUACUGAGGUUUGUAAAAGUGAGGGUUUACUGUAUUAGUAGCAUUGAAGUUGUCCAAGACAAUGAAUGUAUCCUGAGUGAGGCACUAGUCAUAUAUGAAAUAGAGUUUUAACUUCAGGCUUGCCAUCUCUCAGGUUAAAGUUCAUUCCUUGCUUGGGCUGACAGUUUUCUUUGCAGACCAGGAACAGUUACUGUCCCCCAUAGAGAGUGGGGGAUGAGGUUGUGAGGUCCUAGCUUUGUCUAUAGAUUGGCUCCAAAACUCUCUCGUGGAAGGUACAGACUUGGGACCAUGAAUCCAGCUUGUGAUCAGACCAAGUGAAUUACACACACACACACACACACACACACACACACACACACACAGAAGAAAUAUAGCUUCCCGCAAAGAAACAUAGAGGUUUGGAACAGACUAAGUGAGGAUGUAGUAUCGGCGAAGAGUGUGCACAACUUUAAGGAAAAACUGGACAAGUACAGAUAUGGAGACGGGACCACACGAGCGUAAGCCCAGGCCCUGUAAAAUUACAACUAGGUAAAUACAACUAGAUAAAUACACACACACACACACACACACACACACACACACACACACACACGUGUAACAAACUUAUUAAGCUUUUACUUGAGAGUGACGGACAUAACACAGGAGAGGGAUGGAUGGGUAGACUGCGUGUAUUUGGACUUGAAGAAGGCUUUCGACAAAGUCCCACAUACAAGACUAUUGUGGAAGCUGGAAAAUAGAGGAGGAUUGAAAGGGAAAAUGAAAAACUGGAUGGAAAGUUAGUUAAAGGGAAGAGAAAUGAGAACAGUGAUAAAGGACAUGAAAUUGGAAUGAAGAAAUGUAGAUAGUGGGGUGCCUCAAGGAUCGGUAUUGGCACCAAUACUUUUCCUAGUGUAUAUAAAUGAUAUGCCGGAGAAAGAAAAUAGUUACAUGAGCUUGUUUGCAAACGAUGCGAAAUUGCUGCGACACAAAAUAAAUAGUAAAGACUGUGAAAUUCUGCAAGAGGACCUAAAUAAGAUUUGGGAUUGGAGUAAGAAAUGGGAGAUGGAGGUCAAUGUAAAGUAAUGUCAUGUAAUGGAAAUGGGAAAGAGUGUAGGGAGACCAAAAUGGACAUAUAGAAUAAGAGAUGGAGAAAUAUUAAUAGUUCAAAAGGAGAGAGAUCUGGGAGUGAUAAUACAAGAUAAUCAACAGUCAGAGAGUCAUGUAAAUAGGAUAUUCAGAGAUACGUAUAGAAUGGUAAGAAAUACAGGAAUAGCGUUCCACUACAUGGAUAAAGAUAUGAUGAAAAAGAUGAUAACCACUAUGAUUAGACCAAAGUUGGAAUAUA
Molecule: long non-coding RNA, 3154 nt
Organism: Eriocheir sinensis (Chinese mitten crab)
Lineage: Eukaryota; Metazoa; Arthropoda; Malacostraca; Decapoda; Varunidae
Exons: 4
Source: RefSeq, a predicted model, not a curated record